Molecule: long non-coding RNA, 1749 nt
Organism: Nymphaea colorata (pocket water lily)
Lineage: Eukaryota; Viridiplantae; Streptophyta; Magnoliopsida; Nymphaeales; Nymphaeaceae
Exons: 3
Source: RefSeq, a predicted model, not a curated record
UAGAAAAACUCAAAAAAAGUUUCAAGCAUUAGAAAAAAAUGUAAACAAAUUUCAAAAAUUGGAAAAUUUUGUCCUACUGUACAACAUUUUGGGUCAAACUUCAGCAAGAGUAUAUAAGAGGUCGUUUGAUGACCACAGGACACGCAGAACAGGACACGCGUGUCCUGUUUAGUAAAUUUCUUCAUCAAACGUUGGACAGAAGACAUGGUGGACAGAACGGACGGUUGAGCGAAGGUAUAAAUAAAUUUUUUGUCCCAGUCUGUUCCGAGCUAACCCGAAAUUCGUCUCCUGCCCCCGAAGACCCCGAGCCCUCGACCUCUGCCCCCAUCUCCUUCUCCCCGAGCCCUCAACCUCUGCCCCCAUCUCCUUCUCCUCCACCUCCGCCUCCACCUCCCCUGCCUUUCUCCUCUUCUCCACCCCCGACCUUACUUUCUCCUCCAUCUCCGCCCUCAUCUACGCCCCCGAGCUGCCCUAGCCGUCACCCUGUAGCCCCUUCUUGUCUCUCCAUCUUCCUGUGAAUUUCGAGGUAGCCAUGGAAGGUUGCAAGUUCAGUGGGGGCACAGCGAAGGCUAACCUGAUUCUCUCCACAUGCAUCCUUCAAAGGGCGUGGACCUCCAUCUCCGAGCUCCAACAAUCGGGCAAACUCCCCUCCAUCGUCAACGAUCGUUUCCGCAGCUUCACAAUCGUAGCUUUUAAUGACUUGCAGAACCAGACGCAAGACCUCCACCUCCUCUCACCCAUUCUUGCUCCCCUGCAGCCAACCCAUCCCAACUUCGGUUUCCUCAUCAGCAAGGACAAUCCCUCCAUCUCCCUCCACGCCUCCCCUCUCUCCACCUUCCUCCGCCUCCUCUGCACCACCGACCUCAAAGCCCAGUCCGCAGCAACUAUGGGGAGAACCACUGUAGUCCUUCCACCAUUUUUCUUCUGCAACUGUUCUCUUCAAGUAGUCUUCUUGAACAAAGAAUUCUGUUACAAUGUAAAAAAUUAGGCUUUUCUUCUGACUUACGGCAGUAUGCUUCUUGUGACUGGCAAAGAAAUUUGGGGUUAAUGAGUCUAGAAUUAUGUUUCCAAAGUUGUAGCAGAGGAAGUUUAAAGGACAGUUUGGCCAUGGUUGGGGAAAAGAGAACGUUAGGUUAACAACAUCUAAUUGCAAAGCAUGGCCUUGAAAUUUUAAGUGGCCUUUUACUUUUAACCAGUCUUCACCAGGAACACGUCUCAGUGUGUAUUAUACAUUCUCCCAAGCACAUGGCUAAUGGAUUCAACUUCAUUUUCAAACUGAAGGAGAAAGUUCAAAACCCAUGCUGCCUCUCUUGGAAAAUCUUGUUGAUGCCUGCCAAAAGUAAACUUCUUGUUGAUAGAAAGCAAGAUUGUUAUCUUGCUACUAACAUCACAAGGAGCUGACAAAAAAUGUCUUUACAAGCAGAUUUCAAAAGGAGGGAAGCAGAAGUUGGGAACAGACGCCUGACCUACAACACAACACCGACAUUAUGUCAUGAACGGCAGCUGUUCCAUUCUCCAACUUUAUUUCUAAAGAACCAAAUUGGUAUUGCAUUAUGUUAAACCUCUUUGUCCUUAUGUACUGCACAAGAAACUUACGGGAUUUAGAAGUGAAACACUUGUAUUUGUACUUUGCUUUUACAGUCGAUGUAAUAAUCCUUGCUUCAUCUAUCAGAUACUUUUGUAAUUGUUUGAUACUUGUUAAUACUUGUUAACAUUGAUAGAGAAAAUUGUGAAAUGUCCGUUUUUGUA